UUGGUUCCAUGAUGUUCUAUGAUGUCACAAUGGUUUCCAUGGUUCUGGACUCUAACAAUGGAUCCUUUGUUCCAUGAGAUUCCAUGAUGUCACAAUGGUCUCUUUGGUUCCAGACUACUGUAACAAUGGUUCCUUUGUUCCAUGAGAUUCCAUGAUGUCACAAUGGUCUCCUUGGUUCCAUGAGGCCUUGCUUUAUCACAAUGGACCCAUGGUUCCAUGAGCUUCCGUAAUGUCACCAUGGUCCUAUCAGAUCUGCAUUGUCACAAUGGACAACUGGUUUCAUGGGACCCUGCUGUGUCACAAUAAACCCUUAGUGCCAAUCAAGUUUUCUAGGGUCACAAUGGUCUUCCCGGUUCAACGACACCUUGCAGUGUCACAAUGGCUGUUUGGUUCCAUGAGCUUCCAUAGUGUCAGCCAUGGUCUCCUUGUUUCUGCAGUGUCACAAUGGAUCCUUGGUUCCAUGAGCUUCCGUAGGGUCACCGUGGUCUCCUUGGUUCCAUGUGGCCCUGCUGUGUCACAAUGGACCCUUGGUUCCAUGAGGUACCUAAAUGUCACUGGUCUCCUUGGUUCCAUGUGGCCCUGCUGUGUCACAAUGGUCCCAUGAGUCCAUGUCCCUUGCUUCCAUGAGUUUCUGUACUGUCAUCAAUGGUUCCUCUCUUCCAAUGCGGGCCUGCUGUGUCACAAUAAACCCUGGGGUCCAUGAAGUUCUUCAGCACCACAAUGGCCCUGUGGAUCCAUGAGGUUCCUUAGUGUCACCACGGUCUCCGUGAAUCCACAUUGUCAUAAUGGACAAUUCGUACCAUGAGUCCCACUGUGUCGCAGUGACCCCUUGCUUCCAUGAGGCCCCUCUUUGUCACCAUGGACCCUUGGUUCCAUAGGUUUUAUCCUCUAACAAUGGACUCCUUGGUUCUGUGAGUUACCCUGCUUUUUACAGAGGUUUCUUUGCUUGCAACAAGGCCCAGCUGUGCCUCAAUGCACCCUUGGUUCCAUGAGGAUCUGGAGGAUCACAAAGGAUCCUUUGAUCCACAGGGUGUCGAGGAAUUUCUCGUGGAACAAGGACAUGCUAUUCUUGAUGCUAUUCCUUUGCAGGAGCUGGACAACCCUGGCCUGCAGAUUACUGAAUUACUUUAGUUAAUUUAAAGUACUUAGGACAUCCUUGGAAAAACAAUAAGCCUUGUACAAACACAAUAGUCAAUGCUGGACGCUGAGUAGUAUAUGAAAACUGUCAUGUACUAUAACCUGAUCAGACGCUUGUAGAAUAACAGCCAAUCAAUACAUGACAAUAGCAAAUAAAUAUUCAUUGGUUAACGUAAUAUAAUUAUAUAUAUUACGUUAACCAAUGAAUGUUAAUUUACUAUGUAUUUUGUAAGGCGAUGAAGGAAUAAAAUAUGAAAAAAUUAGACAAUAAAGGAGGAUGACAUCAAGCCAUAUUGGUUUGGGUGUCAUUACUCCAGCUGGCUCUCCGUGGGACCCUCUUCAGAUUGUCAGCAACAAGGGGUCUUGAUUUUCAUACCUAUUAAAAAUGGAUUAGGAGAUGCUAGGGAUCCAUAUCAACUGGGGAAUUGCUGAUAUCAAUCUAUAAAUAGGAAAAGUAAACAGGACAAAACAAUUCCCUCUGCACUGUUUUCAAUAUAGUAGGUUGACUUUAAAUACACUUCUGCAAUCUGUCGAAUUAACAACUGAAGAAUUCAAGACUUGAAUUAUUUCCAUGGGCUUGUCUUGUUUGGGUGUUUUGAAGAAAUAUGAAUGAGCCUUUGUCACUAAAUUUCUAUACUGAAGAGCUCAAGAAAGAAGAGGCCUCUGGAGUAGUAAAGUUCAUCACCAACCUCCAAGGUGCUGAGGAUCCAUCCCCAUCAGCGCAGCAAUGAACAGAAAUGGGCACAGCUUUGUGGCUGCCCCAGCUCUGGGAUGGGCCCUGGGCCUGGAGCAGGAGCAGCUCUGGAGGGCCCCAAGGCCGGGGCUCUUGUGCUGGCCUGGGCAGACAAGAUGGCAGGAGGGGCUACAGAGCUCUCAGAUCUCCUGGAGAGGAGAGCAGGACACCCAGGGAGCCUCCUUUGCCUUGGCCAGGCCCGUUCCCCCAUGGUGGGGCUGAGUCCUGGCUGAGCUGCAGCUGCUGCUGUGCCCUUGGCAGGGGCUGAGGCCGUGGGGCAGUGCCCAGAGCAGCCUGGCCUGAGCAGAGCUGUGGGGCCAGAGCCGGCUGGGCUGUGCUGGGGAGAGGCCCUUGGUGCUGCCCAGAGCUCAGGGCAGCUGGCAGAGCUUGCAGGGAGCUGGGCUGGGCUGGGAGAGCCUGGCACAGAAACCAUCAGUGUCCAUCUCAGCCUGGAUGAGCGUGUAGGGGCCAAGGACAGCAGGCCCUUGGGUAAUGCUCAGUGGGUUUUUCGCUCAUAAAUUAUCAUCAAUAACAUUUUUUAACCCCCACCAUCUAAGUCACUGUCUGCCUCUUGGAUGUGACCCAUAAGCUCUGUAAACCACGGUUUGUGCUAUCGCUACAUUUGAACAAAAUAAACUACCCUGCAGUGCCUGUUUUAUCUGGGAUUCCAGUCUGAGGCCUGCAUGAAGUUAGAGGGGAGAAGAGGAAGAGAGCUCCAGCAGAGCAGCACUGCCAGGGAGCAGCAGGGACUGGUCCUUUUGGAGCUGCCCUUCCCAACUCCACCCUCUCCUUCCCAGCCCUGCUGUGGCUGUAAGGCCGCAGUGCUCUGGCAGCUUGGUCACUGUCCUGCUGCGUGUCCGUGCUGUGACCACAGGCAGGGACAGGCCGUGGGCACUGCUGGGACACAGCUGGGCUCCAGCACAGCAGCUCCAUCAGCAAAGGGCAUCUCCUGAGGGCAGGGCAGGAAGGCUUUGCUCUCCUCCAGAGCUGCUGUCAGCAAUGUGCUCCAGGAAUGCCCUGGCACAGCAAAGCCCAGUGCCUGGGCAGAGGGCGAGUGUGCAGGGGGGCACACAGCAGUGUCCUGGCACAGCCAGAGCUCCUGGCAUGGACCUGAUGGAGGAGCAGAGCAGGGCCUGGGCUGUGUCUUUGUUCUGGGGACAGCCUGGGAAGGUGCCCCACCACAAUUGUCCCACACCAGCCCCUGCAACCACCAUUGCCAGCACUGGCCUCUCCCCCACCUGCAGGAGGUUGUUUGUCCCUGCAUGGAGGGACACCAAGUGACCAGGCCAGCAGGCCAUGUUUGCUGUGUACUGGGGAGAUUUUAGCAGUGCAUCGUGUGUGUGUGUGUGUGGGGAGAUGAACCUGUGUGAGCACAAACACCAUCAGCAGCACUCGGGGGUGGCACAAUUCCAGUGGCACAAACAGUGCCUUGAGGCCAUUUUACUCUGAGAGUAACCUCCUCUGGGAAAGCACCUGAAUUCUUUGCUGGGCGGUGGUUAGGACAGCAUAGAGACAAACAUCCUGGGCAGGGAGGCUCCAGGAAAAAAUGCUCAGGGCAGCCAUGGACUGCACAGAGAGACAUUGGAUGGAGUGAGGGUCUGUGGGGAGAAAACCCUGCUGCCUCCCUUCUGAACCACCCUGAGGACCUGGACAGGGCUGUGCUGUGUUCUGGCCACUGAUCUGGGACUGAGGGAUGUGGAAAAGGCCUUUGGUGUCAGGCCUGUUGAGAAGGCUGGGCAGCGUCACUGUGGCACCUCUCUCAAACUCCCUGGAAAGGCCAGAGCCAUCCCAGAGGGUCCUGGGCACUUGGGAAGGGCAGACAUGGAACCAGUCUGGGCAGGGAGGGGGACUGGGAGAGUCACGGACUGGUCAGGCUCGGCAGGGAACGGGAUGUGGCAAAUCCUCCUGCAGCCAUUCCAGGCACUGGCAGGACAAGGCAGGGACUGCAGAACCCACGUGGGAGGGAAAAGAAGGGGAUGUUGUGUGCCCAGGCUUCAGCAGGCCUGUGACAGGGUCUGCUGUGGUCUCCUCAGAGCCAGACUGGAGAGACCCGGGCUGAAGGAGUGGAACAUGGGGUGGGUGGGAAUUUGGCUGAACAAUGAGGCUCAAAUGUCAUCCAUGGUACAGAGUCCUCUUGGCAGCCACGCCCUGCUGACAUCCCUCAGUGACCAGCCCUUGACCACCACUGUGGAUUAUUUCUAUUAUCUCUACAAGGACAUGAAAUGCACUUUCAAUUCUUGGUGGAUGCUGCCAAAUUGCAGGGAGUCUGUGACUGAACUCAUCUAGUAAUGGUGACUGCUAAACAUAACUGGGCAAGAUGACUGAGUUGGGUAAAUUUGUCUUGCCAUCAGGUGCCAAGCAAGGCACAAGG
RNAcentral lists this long non-coding RNA (4241 nucleotides) under Taeniopygia guttata (zebra finch). RNAcentral describes it as "lncRNA (ENSTGUG00000019597.1)". Lineage: Eukaryota; Metazoa; Chordata; Aves; Passeriformes; Estrildidae. The record is from RNAcentral.